AAAAUAACUAAUAAGUAUUGUUUUAAAUUCUAGAUAGAUAUUGACUUAAACAGAAUAUACUAUAAAAAUUGAAGAAGUGUAUCUAAAACGCAUUAAAAUAUUGGACAAACGGAUACAUAAUAAUGCCAACAUACCAGAUUUAACCAAUAGUUGAUAUUGAUAUAUAAAGUGAAUAUACAGGCAAUACCAAUUUAAAUUCAACUUUUGAAAAAUCAUUCAAUAUUCCGCUUUAUGAUUUGUCGCUAGCAUACCUACGAUUGACCGGCGAGCUUCCUAAUGAAAUGCUCGCCGGAAUUCUCAAAGCCAUCGUCAUCAAACCAUCUUACCCUUUUAUCAGUUUUACCGUCACCUCCGAAAGUUCUUCCUCUUACUCAUGUCGCCAUCUCCAGGUCCGGCACGCACAGCACGCACGGCACUUCGAUCUGCAGCCGGCAGCUUUCUAGUCCGAACUGCCCGGCCGGCCGCCUGCCGGACCCCAGAACGAACACUCGGGCCGGUUUCGCGGACGUGGGCAGCAUUUCCGUGAUGGUGGUCCUCGGGAAAAAGCUGAUUUCCAGACUCCUCCUCUGCCUUGGUCCCGUGCAGGCUGCUGCCGCCGCUGCAUGCCGUAGUAAUCACCGUCGAGCACCAGAGCAUCCUCCUCUCACUCCAUCCAGAGAACUGCCGGCUUGGGUCGGCCGCUUGUUUAGUGCACCUCACGCCGUCGUCGCAGUCCGACGAGAACCCCCGCGGGGGUGGCUGGGUGGCCGCCAGGCGUCCUGGUCCGACAGUCCACCGAAAAAUGUCCUCUCGUCGUCCUCAGUGCAGUAUGUCCACAAGCCGGACAUUCCCUGAUAACCAAAACCAGCGUUUCUACUCGACGGUAAUCGUCCGGUUAAAAAAAAAAAUUUAGAUUAUAGUUAUUAUGUUAUUUAUGUUUUAAAUUAAUAAAGAAA
RNA transcript from Acyrthosiphon pisum (pea aphid), 935 nucleotides. RefSeq lists it as uncharacterized. The transcript has 3 exons. Lineage: Eukaryota; Metazoa; Arthropoda; Insecta; Hemiptera; Aphididae. The record is from RefSeq and is a predicted model, not a curated record.